Long non-coding RNA from Mastomys coucha (southern multimammate mouse), 179 nucleotides. RefSeq lists it as uncharacterized. Lineage: Eukaryota; Metazoa; Chordata; Mammalia; Rodentia; Muridae. The record is from RefSeq and is a predicted model, not a curated record. The transcript has 2 exons.
AAAGAUGGUCGGUCUGAUUAGAAUGGAAGGACUCAGCACUGCUGUAGAAGCAGCCAAGGGGACAGUCGGCCUCAGAAGCAGGAGCUUAGGCCAAGGAAGCUGAAGGAGUUCUUCCAGAAAUCCCUCUAAUAGCCUCACGCAGGCUGUGAUCCUCCCUUCUGUAGGGAUGCACAGAGGCU